This 456-nucleotide ribosomal RNA is filed under the name uncultured Lachnospiraceae bacterium. RNAcentral's name for it is "bacterial SSU rRNA". It matches the Rfam family "Bacterial small subunit ribosomal RNA", at positions 925 to 1382 of the family's 1533-position model. Lineage: Bacteria; Bacillati; Bacillota; Clostridia; Lachnospirales; Lachnospiraceae. The record is from RNAcentral.
ACAAGCAGCGGAGCAUGUGGUUUAAUUUCGAAGCAACGCGAAGAACUUACCAAGACUUGACAUCCCCUGACAGCUGUUGAAAGGCAGUGUCUCUUCGGAGCAGGGAGACAGGUGGUGCAUGGUUGUCGUCAGCUCGUGUCGUGAGAUGUUGGGUUAAGUCCCGCAACGAGCGCAACCCUUAUCCUUAGUUACCAGCACGUAAAGGUGGGGACUCUAGGGAGACCGCCGGGGACGACUCGGAGGAAGGUGGGGACGACGUCAAAUCAUCAUGCCCCUUAUGUCUUGGGCUACACACGUGCUACAAUGGCCGCAACAGAGGGAAGCGAGAGCGCAAGCUGGAGCAAAACCCUAAAAAGCGGUCCCAGUUCGGAUUGUGGGCUGCAACCCGCCCACAUGAAGUCGGAGUUGCUAGUAAUCGCGAAUCAGCAUGUCGCGGUGAAUGCGUUCCCGGGCCUU